RNAcentral lists this ribosomal RNA (1372 nucleotides) under uncultured bacterium. RNAcentral describes it as "bacterial SSU rRNA". It matches the Rfam family "Bacterial small subunit ribosomal RNA", at positions 28 to 1381 of the family's 1533-position model. The record is from RNAcentral.
GAUGAACGCUGGCGGCGUGCCUAAUACAUGCAAGUCGAGCGAACGGACGAGAAGCUUGCUUCUCUGAUGUUAGCGGCGGACGGGUGAGUAACACGUGGAUAACCUACCUAUAAGACUGGGAUAACUUCGGGAAACCGGAGCUAAUACCGGAUAAUAUUUUGAACCGCAUGGUUCAAAAGUGAAAGACGGUCUUGCUGUCACUUAUAGAUGGAUCCGCGCUGCAUUAGCUAGUUGGUAAGGUAACGGCUUACCAAGGCAACGAUGCAUAGCCGACCUGAGAGGGUGAUCGGCCACACUGGAACUGAGACACGGUCCAGACUCCUACGGGAGGCAGCAGUAGGGAAUCUUCCGCAAUGGGCGAAAGCCUGACGGAGCAACGCCGCGUGAGUGAUGAAGGUCUUCGGAUCGUAAAACUCUGUUAUUAGGGAAGAACAUAUGUGUAAGUAACUGUGCACAUCUUGACGGUACCUAAUCAGAAAGCCACGGCUAACUACGUGCCAGCAGCCGCGGUAAUACGUAGGUGGCAAGCGUUAUCCGGAAUUAUUGGGUGUAAAGCGCGCGUAGGCGGUUUUUUAGUCUGAUGUGAAAGCCCACGGCUCAACCCGUGGAGGGUCAUUGGAAACUGGAAAACUUGAGUGCAGAAGAGGAAAGUGGAAUUCCAUGUGUAGCGGUGAAAUGCGCAGAGAUAUGGAGGAACACCAGUGGCGAAGGCGACUUUCUGGUCUGUAACUGACGCUGAUGUGCGAAAGCGUGGGGAUCAAACAGGAUUAGAUACCCUGGUAGUCCACGCCGUAAACGAUGAGUGCUAAGUGUUAGGGGGUUUCCGCCCCUUAGUGCUGCAGCUAACGCAUUAAGCACUCCGCCUGGGGAGUACGACCGCAAGGUUGAAACUCAAAGGAAUUGACGGGGACCCGCACAAGCGGUGGAGCAUGUGGUUUAAUUCGAAGCAACGCGAAGAACCUUACCAAAUCUUGACAUCCUUUGACAACUCUAGAGAUAGAGCUUUCCCCUUCGGGGGACAAAGUGACAGGUGGUGCAUGGUUGUCGUCAGCUCGUGUCGUGAGAUGUUGGGUUAAGUCCCGCAACGAGCGCAACCCUUAAGCUUAGUUGCCAUCAUUAAGUUGGGCACUCUAAGUUGACUGCCGGUGACAAACCGGAGGAAGGUGGGGAUGACGUCAAAUCAUCAUGCCCCUUAUGAUUUGGGCUACACACGUGCUACAAUGGACAAUACAAAGGGCAGCGAAACCGUGAGGUCAAGCAAAUCCCAUAAAGUUGUUCUCAGUUCGGAUUGUAGUCUGCAACUCGACUACAUGAAGCUGGAAUCGCUAGUAAUCGUAGAUCAGCAUGCUACGGUGAACACGUUCCCGGGUCU